This 3816-nucleotide long non-coding RNA is filed under the name Nicotiana tabacum (common tobacco). RNAcentral describes it as "long non-coding RNA (NTAB_LNC008790)". Lineage: Eukaryota; Viridiplantae; Streptophyta; Magnoliopsida; Solanales; Solanaceae. The record is from RNAcentral.
CUCUCUGCUUAAAACACACACACAGACGGAAAAGAAAAAAAGGAAGGAGGGCACAAAAAAAAACGGAACUCACUCCCUUUUUCCUCUAGGAGCAAGCCUUAAAAACUAACAAUCAAAUUUCACCGAAAAAUCAGCAAAAAUCAGCCUCAAAACAGUGCAAAUCCUAGCCAAAAAAUCAGUUCAAAAGCCGCCAUAAAUCACCAUAAAUCAUCCUCAAAAGCUUCAGCAAAAUAGUCUCCAAUCAACAUCACAAAUCACUCAAUUUUUUGGUUUCUUUAUUGCGGAGUUUCAAGGUUCCGGCUACAGUCCGAAUUUUAUUUUUGUUGUAUAAUCAUGCAUCAAUAGCAGUGCCAUUACUUGAAGAACCCUUUCAUCUAUAAAAGGUCCAAUCUUUUUAUCUUGUUUGCUUUGUCUAUUUAUUGUUCCAUUUAGAUGAUAUGUGCUAAUAUGCCUAUUUGCUUGGAUCUGUUAUUCUUUUUUUUUGAGCACAUGAUUUUUCUUAGUUGUUAGUUCUUGUCGUUAAGUUUAUUAGCGUGUGAUGUUGAGUUAGAAUCUAAAAGGAAAAUUUCAAAAAAAAAAAAAAAUAGAACUUAAAAAUAAUGAGGGAAACGUAAUGGUAACAAUAAUGUAUUUGGAUCCUAAGGUUUGGUUUUUGUAAAAGUUAUUUUCUUUAUCAAAAUAAACUAAUCAAUUUUAGUAAUUUCCUAGCGUUAGUUUUAUCAUUUGGUCGAAUUAGUUUCUAAUAUUGUUUUAACUGACUUAUGAUAAUUUUAUUAAUCCUUCAAAUAAUCCUCUCUUGACUUGUGGUAAAUACUAAAUAAAAUACUUUCAUAACUCUUGAGCAUCACAAUAAUCCUAACUUAGGAAAUAGUAAUUUAAAAUGCUUAGGCAAUUUUAGGCGCGUCUUCAAAAGUUGACCAUGAGCUCUUACGAUCCUUGGUUAAUAUCAAUUAAUAAAAAUGGUCAUGUGUGCAUUCCCGCUCCUUGACUCUCUAACUAACAAAUUGCGUUUAGCCAUGUGUUCAUACCCGUGCCUUGGUUUAAACGCACAUGAUAAAAGGACCUUGUGUGCUUACACGUUUCUAGGCCGAAAUCAAUAAAAUUUGAUUAAUUAUUAAGCGGUACUAGACAAUAGUAAUUUAAGGCAAAUAAAUCACAGUUUAUCUAGAAUUAAUUCAAGUUAAGUUUAAGUCAAUAAAGCGACCGUGCUAGAACCACGGGACUCGGGAAAUGCCUUACACCUUCUCCCUGAUCAAAAGAAUUCCUUAUCCGAACAUUGAUUUCGCAGACCAACAUGAAAAGAGUUAAAUUUUUCUUUGAAUAUGGAUUCAAAUAAAAAGGUGACUUGGAACACCGGUAAAAAUCAAUUUCAAGUGGCGACUCUGUAAAAUAAAAUAAAUCCCUAUUUCAAAUUUGUCACUUCAAAUGGAAAAAACUCGUUAACCCACAAUCCUUAAUAACACAUUAUCUUUUGGAGGAUAGAAAAGGGGUGUGACAAUUAUAAAAUUAGCAGCGAGUUAAAUGACCAAAGGCAUACUAAGGCUGAAAUAAAUUUCUCUCUGCCUUCUCUCUACUUUAAGAGAGAGAAGCCUGUACUUCACUCCAACAAACAACAAUCACAUAAAAGUUUUCGAACGAUGGGCUCAAGUGAUAAUGACCAUAUGUUUCAUCAAGAAGAAGAUUUACUUAAAAGGAGCAAAAACAAUUAUCGAGAGCCAACCGAAAAUAAAGUAAGCUUUCGAGACAAAAUUCUAAUCCUAAAUGAGGUAGUUUGAUUCGGACGAAGUUUAAGAAAAAAAAGAAGACUUUUGAAAUUUGUGGUCUUAAAAGCUUAAGGGGUAAAAAGUUUGUGGGGCCAUGAUAUUUGCAUGACUAUAAAAGCUUCUCAUUAAGUGAAAAUGAGUAAAAUGAAAGAAUUUAAAGUUGAAUUAUUUCCAAAUUUAAAAAUGUGUCAUUUAUUUUGGAACAGACUAAAAAGGAAAGUACCUCAUUUAAUAUGGAACAGAGGGAUUCACCUAGAGGGAUUCAACAUUUUUUCCGUAAUACAGGGUGCCUACCCCUGGUUACAUUCUUUUUCCGUCAUAUAGUGUACCAAACCCUAGUUACAUUUCCUUACCAAGUAUAGGGUACACCAAUCCCUAGUUGUAUUCUCCAACAUAGGGUCUCCAUUCCCUAGCUGAUUUUAUUUCAGAUAUAGGGUCACCACUCUCUAGUCUCCUUACUAGUAUAAGGUACACCAAUCCAUGGCUGUGUUUUCCAACGUAGGGUACACCAAUCCCUAGUUGAUCUGAUCUUAAGUGCAGGGUGUACCAGUCCUUGGUAUCUUUGAUAUUAAGGGGUACACCAUUCUCUAGCCAUGUUUUUCCAACAUAAGGUACACCAAUCCUUAGUUGAGACACCAUUUAGAUAAUUAGGAUACACCAUUCCCGAAGAAUUAUGUUUUCCUAGGGUACACCAAUCCCGACUCUUUAUUGCUUUUAAUAAAGUAGUUUAUAAUUUUAUUAGAAUAACUCACGAAAUUUUUCUAGUGAAAACUGAGGCAGAAAAAUUUCGUUCGUUUGUUUGUUUUGGUGUCUGAGCAGGUCUUACCUCAAGGUACAAGGUUCAAGAUGACCAAGAGAAGUAUCAAAAUGGAGAAACAGAUGAAAUAAUGUGGAUUGUUCAAGAUAUGACUGAAGUCACGAGCAUUACAUUUUUCCGUUUUGAUCAGAAGAAGUCGUAGAAGAAUGAACUAGCACCUAUAGCUAGCAAGCAUCAUGGUUCAGAUCAGAGUCUACGUGGAGAACCAGUCAGGACUCGAGGACAAGUUUCAGAAGACUCAUAGAUAGGAAUCUUGUAACUCAUAGCUGAUAGGCUUGUUUAGUUUCUUUUUGAUUUUUGAUGUAAUAAUAGACUUACGGACCGAAGCAUCGACAGAACCUCACUUGACUUAUCAACUUAUCAUUCCACAAUUCUCCUUGAACUGCACGCGACCUGAUUUCCCUAUAACCCGCGAUAUGUAGGCUGUCCAAAACCAAGACUCGGUUGCACCCUUUCUCUUUUAUCUUAUCCUUAUUUCUUCCCUUUAGAAUAAAUAUAUGUUCAAAAAUUAGUCAUAUCGCUCAUCUUGUCUUUGCAUGAAAACUCUUCUUUUUUCCAAGCAAAGAGGGGCAUGCUGUGAGCACCUAAUUUUUGACCACACUUACAUUUUUCUAAACUCCCUCACGUCGUUUAGCACAUACUUUACCACCAACACAAUUAUUCCCUCACAUACUUUACACUAACCAUACACUCAUUUUUCACUUACAAAAUUAUUGCCUACCCCAUUCUCCUUUAUUCCUCAACCCACUUUCCCUUGGCCCCCUCACAUGUUUCCCACUUCCCCUUCCCUCAUUCUCUCUGCUUAAAACACACACAUAGACGGAAAAGUUAAAAAGGGAGUAGGGCACAAAAAAAACGGAACUCACUCACUUUUUCCUCUAGGAGCAAGCCUUAAAAACAAGCAAUCAAAUUCCACCGAAAAAUCAGCAAAAAUUAGCCUCAAAACAGUGCAAUUCCUAGCCAAAAAAAUCAGUUCAAAAGCAGCCAUAAACCACCAUAAAUCAUCCUCAAAAGCUUCAGCAAAAUAGUCUCCAAUCAACAUCACAAAUCACUCAAUUUUUGGUUUCUUUAUUGCGGAGUUUCAAGGUUCCGGCUACAGUCCGAAUUCUUUUUUUGUUGUAUAAUCAUGCAUCAAUAGCAGUGCUAUUACUUGAAGAACCCUUUCAUCUAUAAAAGGUCCAAUCUUUUUAUCUUGUUUGUUUUGUCUGUUUAUUGUUCCAUUUAGAUGAUAUGUGC